AACGCUAGCACAGGCUUAACACAUGCAAGUCGAGGGGCAUCAGGAAGAAAGCUUGCUUUCUUUGCUGGCGACCGGCGCACGGGUGAGUAACACGUAUCCAACCUGCCCUUUACUCGGGGAUAGCCUUUCGAAAGAAAGAUUAAUACCCGAUAGUACUUUUUUGAGGCAUCUUGAGAAAGUUAAAGAUUUAUUGGUGAUGGAUGGGGAUGCGUUCCAUUAGAUUGUUGGUGAGGUAACGGCUCACCAAGUCUUCGAUGGAUAGGGGUUCUGAGAGGAAGGUCCCCCACAUUGGUACUGAGACACGGACCAAACUCCUACGGGAGGCAGCAGUGAGGAAUAUUGGUCAAUGGGCGAGAGCCUGAACCAGCCAAGUAGCGUGAAGGAUGAAGGUCCUAUGGAUUGUAAACUUCUUUUAUAGUAGAAUAAAGUGAUCCACGUGUGGAUUUUUGUAUGUAUACUAUGAAUAAGGAUCGGCUAACUCCGUGCCAGCAGCCGCGGUAAUACGGAGGAUCCGAGCGUUAUCCGGAUUUAUUGGGUUUAAAGGGUGCGUAGGCGGAAAAAUAAGUCAGUUGUGAAAGUUUGCGGCUCAACCGUAAAAUUGCAGUUGAUACUGUUUUUCUUGAGUGUACAUAAGGUAGGCGGAAUUCGUGGUGUAGCGGUGAAAUGCUUAGAUAUCACGAAGAACUCCGAUUG
RNAcentral lists this ribosomal RNA (693 nucleotides) under uncultured bacterium. Its description in RNAcentral is "bacterial SSU rRNA". It matches the Rfam family "Bacterial small subunit ribosomal RNA", at positions 32 to 715 of the family's 1533-position model. The record is from RNAcentral.